CGUUCCCAUCCCGAACACGGUAGUUAAGCUUCUCUGCGCCAAUGGUAGUUGGGGGCUUCCCCCUGCGAGAGUAGGUCGCUGCCGGGC
RNAcentral lists this ribosomal RNA (87 nucleotides) under Listeria monocytogenes. The record is from RNAcentral. Lineage: Bacteria; Bacillati; Bacillota; Bacilli; Caryophanales; Listeriaceae.